RNAcentral lists this ribosomal RNA (253 nucleotides) under uncultured bacterium. RNAcentral's name for it is "partial 16S ribosomal RNA". It matches the Rfam family "Bacterial small subunit ribosomal RNA", at positions 524 to 776 of the family's 1533-position model. The record is from RNAcentral.
UACGUAGGGUGCGAGCGUUAAUCGGAAUUACUGGGCGUAAAGCGUGCGCAGGCGGUUUUGUAAGCCAGAUGUGAAAGCCCCGGGCUUAACCUGGGAAUGGCAUUUGGGACUGCAAGGCUUGAGUGCGGCAGAGGAGACUGGAAUUCCUGGUGUAGCAGUGAAAUGCGUAGAUAUCAGGAGGAAUACCGAUGGCGAAGGCAGCCCCCUGGGAUAACACUGACGCUCAUGCACGAAAGCGUGGGGAGCAAACAGG